ACGCUGGCGGUAGGCCUAACACAUGCAAGUCGAACGGCAGCACAGUAAGAGCUUGCUCUUACGGGUGGCGAGUGGCGGACGGGUGAGGAAUACAUCGGAAUCUACUUUUUCGUGGGGGAUAACGUAGGGAAACUUACGCUAAUACCGCAUACGACCUGCGGGUGAAAGCAGGGGAUCUUCGGACCUUGCGCGAUUGAAUGAGCCGAUGUCGGAUUAGCUAGUUGGCGGGGUAAAGGCCCACCAAGGCGACGAUCCGUAGCUGGUCUGAGAGGAUGAUCAGCCACACUGGAACUGAGACACGGUCCAGACUCCUACGGGAGGCAGCAGUGGGGAAUAUUGGACAAUGGGCGCAAGCCUGAUCCAGCCAUACCGCGUGGGUGAAGAAGGCCUUCGGGUUGUAAAGCCCUUUUGUUGGGAAAGAAAAGCAGCAGGUUAAUACCCCGCUGUUCUGACGGUACCCAAAGAAUAAGCACCGGCUAACUUCGUG
This 487-nucleotide ribosomal RNA is filed under the name uncultured bacterium. RNAcentral describes it as "partial 16S ribosomal RNA". It matches the Rfam family "Bacterial small subunit ribosomal RNA", at positions 33 to 507 of the family's 1533-position model. The record is from RNAcentral.